GACGAACGCUGGCGGCGUGCCUAAUACAUGCAAGUCGAACGAGAGCGCCCGGUGCUUGCACUGGUCAAUCUAGUGGCGCACGGGUGAGUAACACGUGGGUAACCUGCCCAUCAGAGGGGGAUAACAUCCGGAAACGGAUGCUAAAACCGCAUAGGUCUUCGAGCCGCAUGGCUUGAAGAGGAAAAGAGGCGCAAGCUUCUGCUGAUGGAUGGACCCGCGGUGCAUUAGCUAGUUGGUGAGGUAACGGCUCACCAGGGCCGUGAUGCAGAGCCGACCUGAGAGGGUGAUCGGCCACAUUGGGACUGAGACACGGCCCAAGCUCCUACGGGAGGCAGCAGUAGGGAAUCUUCCGCAAUGGACGCAAGUCUGACGGAGCAACGCCGCGUGAGUGAAGAAGGUGUUCGGAUCGUAAAACUCUGUUGUUAGAGAAGAACAAGUGCUAGAGUAACUGUUAGCGCCUUGACGGUAUCUAACCAGAAAGCCACGGCUAACUACGUG
Molecule: ribosomal RNA, 498 nt
Filed under: uncultured bacterium
Lineage: Bacteria
Description: partial 16S ribosomal RNA
Rfam family: Bacterial small subunit ribosomal RNA
Source: RNAcentral